AAUGAACGCUGGCGGCGUGCCUAACACAUGCAAGUCGAACGAGAAAGUCCUUCGGGAUGAGUAUAGUGGCAAACGGGUGAGUAACACGUGAAUGAUCUGCCCUUUAGUGAAGAAUACCCUCGAGAAAUCGAGGUUAAUACUGCAUAAGCCUGAGGUAAAACUUAGGGAAAGCUGGCCUCUUUGCUAGCGCUGAAGGAUGAGUUUGCGGUCUAUUAGCUAGUUGGUAGGGUAAAGGCCUACCAAGGCAAUAAUGGAUAGCCGGCCUGAGAGGGUGUACGGCCACAUUGGGACUGAGAUACGGCCCAGACUCCUACGGGAGGCAGCAGUGGGGAAUAUUGCGCAAUGGGGGAAACCUUGACGCAGCGACGCCGCGUGGAGGAAGAAGGUCUUCGGAUUGUAAACUCCUGUUAAGUGGGAAGAAAUGGCAAAAUUUAAUAAAUUUUGCAGCUGACGGUACCACUAGAGAAAGCACCGGCUAACCUCGUG
This 486-nucleotide ribosomal RNA is filed under the name uncultured bacterium. RNAcentral's name for it is "bacterial SSU rRNA". It matches the Rfam family "Bacterial small subunit ribosomal RNA", at positions 29 to 507 of the family's 1533-position model. The record is from RNAcentral.